GUAACUGAGUUUUGUUUUAAAUUUUUUUUUAAUUUAUUAGAGAAAGAAUGAGAGAGAGAGAGAGAGAGAGAGCACAAGCAGGGGGAGGAGCAGAGGGAGACAAAGGACCCAGAAGCCUUGAGUUCUUGGCACUUUAUGGAGUCAGCAUUAUUAAGGAAUCAGGAAAACGUAUAUUAAAGCUUCACAAGAGACCUCUGACUACCCAUGAGACAGUGAAAAUUAAAAGCAAGUGUUGGAAGAAGUUGCUGUGGUUGAGGUCGAAGAGGUUGCUGCCUGUGUUCUCCUCAAAGAUUUGGAUGGAUUCCUGUCUCACAUAGAAGUCUUUCAUCCAUUUUGAGUCUAUUUUUGUGUGUGGUGUAAGGAAAUGGCCCAGUUUCACUCUUCUGCAUGUGGCUGUCCAAUUUUCCCAAAACCAUUGGGACAUUUUUCCAUUGGACAUUCUUUCCUGCUUUGUUGAAGAUAGAGUUGAGGGUCUAUUUCUGGGCUCUCUAUUCUGUUCCAUUGAUCUAUGUGUCUGUUUUUGUGCCGGUACAAUACUGUCUUGAUGAUGACAGCUUUGUAAUAGAGCUUGAAGUCUGGAAUUGUGAUGCUACCAACUUUGGCUUAUCAAAUGCAACACCCAAAGAAUAAAUAAUCCAAUCACGAAAUGGGCAGAACACAUGAACAGACUUUUCUACAAAGAAGACAUCCAGAUGGCCAAUAGACAGAUGAAAAAAUGCCCACAUCACUCGGCAUCAGGGAAAUACAACUCAAAACCACAAUGAGAUACGACCUCACACCAGUCAGAAUGGCUAAAAUGAACAAGUUAGGAAAUGACAGAUGCUGGCGAGGAUGCGGAGAAAGGGGAACCCUCCUACACUGCUGGUGUGAAUGCAAGCUGGUGCAACCACUCUAGAAAACAGCACGGAGGUUCCUCAACAAGUUGAAAAUAGAGCUAUCCUACGACCCAGGAAUCACACUACUGGGUAUUUACCUUAAAGAUACAAAUGUAGGGGCUCCUGGGUGGCUCAGUUGGUUAAAGCCUCUCUUUGGCUCGGGUCAUGGUUCCAGGGUACUGGGAUCGAGCCCCGCAUCGGGAUCUCUGCUCAGCAAGGAGCCUGCUUCCUCCUCUCUCUCUGCUUCUCUGCCUACUUGUGAUCUCUGCCUCUCAAAUAAAUAAAUAAAAUCUUAAAAAAAAAAAUAAAAAGAUACAAAUGUAGUGAUCCAAAGGGGCACAUGCACCAGAAUGUUUAUAGCAGCAAUGUCCACAAUAGCCAAA
This 1258-nucleotide long non-coding RNA is filed under the name Mustela putorius furo (domestic ferret). RNAcentral's name for it is "lncRNA (ENSMPUG00000026368.1)". Lineage: Eukaryota; Metazoa; Chordata; Mammalia; Carnivora; Mustelidae. The record is from RNAcentral.